This 371-nucleotide ribosomal RNA is filed under the name uncultured bacterium. RNAcentral's name for it is "partial 16S ribosomal RNA". It matches the Rfam family "Bacterial small subunit ribosomal RNA", at positions 338 to 706 of the family's 1533-position model. The record is from RNAcentral.
CCUACGGGAGGCAGCAGUGAGGAAUAUUUGUCAAUGGGCUUACGCCUGAACCAGCCAAGUCGCGUGAGGGAAGACUGCCCUAUGGGUUGUAAACCUCUUUUGUCAGGGAGCCACGCCGGCUACGUGUCGCCGGACUGAGAGUACCUGAAGAAAAAGCAUCGGCUAACUCCGUGCCAGCAGCCGCGGUAAUACGGAGGAUGCGAGCGUUAUCCGGAUUUGUUGGGUUUAAAGGGUGCGUAGGCGGCAUGCGAAGUACGCGGGGACAUCGCGGGGCUCAACCUCGCUCCGCCGUUGAAACUGGCUGGCUGGAGUGGGCGAGAAGUAUGCGGAAUGCGUGGUGUAGCGGUGAAAUGCAUAGAUAUCACGCAGAA